GAUGAACGCUGGCGGCGUGCCUAAUACAUGCAAGUCGAGCGAACAGACGAGGAGCUUGCUCCUCUGACGUUAGCGGCGGACGGGUGAGUAACACGUGGAUAACCUACCUAUAAGACUGGGAUAACUUCGGGAAACCGGAGCUAAUACCGGAUAAUAUAUUGAACCGCAUGGUUCAAUAGUGAAAGACGGUUUUGCUGUCACUUAUAGAUGGAACCGCGCCGCAUUAGCUAGUUGGUAAGGUAACGGCUUACCAAGGCAACGAUGCGUAGCCGACCUGAGAGGGUGAUCGGCCACACUGGAACUGAGACACGGUCCAGACUCCUACGGGAGGCAGCAGUAGGGAAUCUUCCGCAAUGGGCGAAAGCUUGACGGAGCAACGCCGCGUGAGUGAUGAAGGUCUUCGGAUCGUAAAACUCUGUUAUUAGGGAAGAACAAAUGUGUAAGUAACUAUGCACGUCUUGACGGUACCUAAUCAGAAAGCCACGGCUAGCUACGU
This 496-nucleotide ribosomal RNA is filed under the name uncultured bacterium. RNAcentral describes it as "partial 16S ribosomal RNA". It matches the Rfam family "Bacterial small subunit ribosomal RNA", at positions 28 to 506 of the family's 1533-position model. The record is from RNAcentral.